CCUGCCCAGCAUAAUCCAAUUCCCCUUCAAUAGAACCUAGCUCUGCAUGUGAUAGACACAGGCUACAUCAAGAGGUACAAGAGACUUAAUCCAUCUAUUUUUGUAAAGGCAUCCACUUUUGAAGAAGUUGAGUACUAGUUAGCAGAGAUAGAGAAGACUUUUGCGACCUUUGAGGUGGUUCCUGAGCAGAAGGUUGUCCUUGCUACUUACAUGCUCGUAGGUGAGGCAGAGUGUUGGUGGCAACUUAAGCAAACUACUCUAUCCACUUCAGUCACCUAGGAAUAGUUUUU
Molecule: long non-coding RNA, 290 nt
Filed under: Carica papaya (papaya)
Lineage: Eukaryota; Viridiplantae; Streptophyta; Magnoliopsida; Brassicales; Caricaceae
Description: long non-coding RNA (CPAP_LNC006061)
Source: RNAcentral